Molecule: ribosomal RNA, 253 nt
Filed under: uncultured bacterium
Lineage: Bacteria
Description: partial 16S ribosomal RNA
Rfam family: Bacterial small subunit ribosomal RNA
Source: RNAcentral
GACGAACCGUGCGAACGUUGUUCGGAUUCACUGGGCUUAAAGGGCGCGUAGGCGGGCCUCCAAGUCAGGGGUGAAAUCCCACGGCUCAACCGUGGAAGUGCCUUUGAUACUGGGGGCCUCGAGGGAGGUAGGGGCGUGCGGAACUUCCGGUGGAGCGGUGAAAUGCGUAGAUAUCGGAAGGAACGCCGGUGGCGAAAGCGGCGCGCUGGACCUCUUCUGACGCUGAGGCGCGAAAGCCAGGGGAGCAAACGGG